UCAUAGCUCGUACCGAUGGUCCGUUCUGCCCUUUUUUAGCCAUGUUCAAAUUCGCGCUCUUAAGACACAAAUUGAGUUUUUCCCCCGAACCCCUGUUCCUAACCCCCGAAGGUUUCCCCAUGUCCUCGGCCUGGUUCCUAAAGCACCUGAAGCUACUUCUAGCCGCAUCCAACCUCCCUCCUAGCCAAUUCUCAGGCCACUCCUUUAGAAUAGGAGUGGCUACAUCCGCAGCCGCGCAGGGUAUUCCCACGUCAACCCUCCAGCAACUCGGCCGAUGGUCGUCUUCAGCUUUCGCAUCCUACAUUCGUCCAGACCUCUUAGCCGUUCUCGCAGCUCAACGGUCUCUCAGUGCCUAGGUUCCAUUUCAAGCAAUCCCACCUCUUGUCCCUGCCGGCUACCAACUUUAUCCGCCUAACGCCGCAUCAUGUCAGUAACCCCUCAGCUGGCCUACAUCUACCAGCCCAACUUCGCGUCACGCCAAUAACACCCCAGCUGGCCUUCAUCUACCAGCCCGACUCCACACCAGAUUGAAAUGAAGCCUAGGCGCAAGUUCAAGCUGGAAGACUUCCGCUCCACCCAUUCCAUCUAAUUACUGCGUCAUCUUCAUCACUGGACCUCGACCCGCCUUCUCCAAUCUUCAAUCAAGCUCUGUUAAAAGGCUCCACACCCACGCCGCCAGUUGCUUUCCAGCUUUGCUCAACCCACCUCCUCCCCUUCUCAACCAGCAUUUCAAGUCAUCAUCUUUCCCAACCUCCACCACCAGUGUCGGGCCCCGGGGGAGUAUCCCUAUUCAGCGUUGAUGGGCUCAUCUGAAUUCGCCGGAAUUCACUGCUCAAAUCUCCAGCCGGGGCCCGAGCGCCAAAG
Xiphophorus hellerii (green swordtail) is the source of this 864-nucleotide long non-coding RNA. RefSeq lists it as uncharacterized. The record is from RefSeq and is a predicted model, not a curated record. Lineage: Eukaryota; Metazoa; Chordata; Actinopteri; Cyprinodontiformes; Poeciliidae. The transcript is spliced from 4 exons.